This 66-nucleotide transfer RNA is filed under the name Bos taurus (domestic cattle). It matches the Rfam family "tRNA". From Rfam's summary of the family: Transfer RNA (tRNA) molecules are approximately 80 nucleotides in length. Their secondary structure includes four short double-helical elements and three loops (D, anti-codon, and T loops). The record is from Rfam by way of RNAcentral. RNAcentral also lists the same sequence under 5 other names. Lineage: Eukaryota; Metazoa; Chordata; Mammalia; Artiodactyla; Bovidae.
AACCUUAUGGCUUAUGGUAAAGAACCUGCCUGCAAUGCAGGAUGCCGGGGUUUGAUCCCUGGGUUG